Molecule: ribosomal RNA, 470 nt
Filed under: uncultured bacterium
Lineage: Bacteria
Description: bacterial SSU rRNA
Rfam family: Bacterial small subunit ribosomal RNA
Source: RNAcentral
AACGAACGCUGGCGGCGCGUUUAAGCAUGCAAGUCGAGCGGCAAGGGCCUCGGGCCCCUAGAGCGGCGGACGGGUGAGUAACACGUGGACAACCUGCCUCAUAGAGAGGAAUAGCCUUCCGAAAGGGAGAUUAAUACCUCAUAACAUUGCAGUUUCGCAUGGAACAGCAAUUAAAGGAGCAAUCCGCUAUGAGAUGGGCCCGCGGCGCAUUAGCUAGUUGGUGAGGUAACGGCUCACCAAGGCGACGAUGCGUAGCCGACCUGAGAGGGUGAUCGGCCACAUUGGGACUGAGACACGGCCCAGACUCCUACGGGAGGCAGCAGUGGGGAAUAUUGCACAAUGGGGGAAACCCUGAUGCCAGCAACGCCGCGUGAGUGAUGACGGCCUUCGGGUUGUAAAGCUCUGUCUUCAGGGACGAUAAUGACGGUACCUGAGGAGGAAGCCACGGCUAACUACGUGCCAGCCGCCGC